Molecule: non-coding RNA, 369 nt
Organism: Coffea arabica (coffee)
Lineage: Eukaryota; Viridiplantae; Streptophyta; Magnoliopsida; Gentianales; Rubiaceae
Source: RefSeq, a predicted model, not a curated record
ACUAGUAGUAUAUCAGAUAUACCUCGAUGUGUAUAAGCUUAAAAACUGAAUAGAAACUUAUAGUUUCAAAAUUUUGUAUUCUAGGAUAUUGCGAGGACGCAGAAUUCGAUUCCGAAUUUGACAUCUGAACUUCACUCUUGGUUCCGGGAAUUGAAAGCUUGGAUACUUAUUUAUGUUUUCCUUUUGAAAUGUAUUCGGAUACUAUGACUUAUUUUGUGGGCUGUAAUGCGUUAAUUGGGAUAAUGUACCUUCCUUUUGGAUUGCCACUUGAAGCUGGAAAAUGUGUAAACCCUAAUUUGAUUGUUUGGCUUGUAAGUUUGUAUUAGGGAUUUAUGUAUUUAUCUAUCCGGAUUGGUACGACUUUAUACA